Molecule: long non-coding RNA, 1248 nt
Organism: Dromiciops gliroides (monito del monte)
Lineage: Eukaryota; Metazoa; Chordata; Mammalia; Microbiotheria; Microbiotheriidae
Exons: 3
Source: RefSeq, a predicted model, not a curated record
GCUGCCACUUCCCUCUCUCAUCACAGAGAACAGAGAGGACUCCCUGCAAAGUGUCCAGUGACCUCUUGGUGGCCUUUUCUCCAUCGUGGAUCUCCUGGGCCUCGCUGCAGCCUUGGAUGCUCCGGGCCACUCUCUGCUCUCUGGGUUUCAGGACAGACCCUGUCUCCCGGCUCUCCUCCUUCCUCUCUGACUACUCCCCCUCUGUCUCCUCUGCACGCUGUUUCAUAGUUAGAUUGGGGACUUCUUGGGGGCAGGGCCAUACUUCACCUCUUUUUGUACCCCUAGCUUAGCACAAUGCCGGGAACUUAGUAGGUGCUAGAAGAGGUUAUUGACUGAGUGACGCAGGCAGGAGUAAGGCCAGCGAGUGAUGGGCAGGCUUGGCAGAGCAAGAACGGGGAUGGGAUGGUGGGCAAAGGGCCCAAGAGAAGAGGGCCCGCCCCUAGGGGGUCAGAUGGGGAGGAGAGCAGAGGGCAGGCAGUGGAGGGGAAAUUGAAGGUCAGGGGGCACAGGCACGGGCGCUGUAGCCGCUUAAGGGGAUUCCAGAGUUCAUGGACAUGCAGGUGGGGCUUUGGGGGGAUAUGACCAUCUCUGUGUGUGGCAGGGGUGAAGUCGGGGUGUUGGGAGGAGAGCGAGGCGUAGGAAGGCCCUUAGGAGGAGGGCAGGGGUUUGGGAGGAGAGAAAGAUGGUGAGCCAGAUGUGAACCAACGGAGGGGGAAGGACAGGCACAGCGUCCUUGUAGACAGCGGCCACGGGGACUCUGGGCGGGCAGAAGGAGAGAGGAAGGAAGAGGCUGAAGAGAAAGUAGGUUUGUUCCCCAGGGAGCGGGCAUCAGGGAUGGGGGCAAGGGAAGGAGCAGCGGAUGGGGAGCGGGCCUUGAACGAGGCAGCUCGAAGAGACUGCUGACUGACAGAGUGAGUCCGGGACACGAGGGUGGUCGCAGAGGUCUGUGGAGAGAGAGAUUUAAUUAUAAGGAUGAAGAUCUGGUAGAAGAGGCCAAGGAGAGGUCAGACUGGUGGAAGGGAGCAGUGUCAUGGAAGCCCAGAGAGAAGUGGGCCAAGAGAACAAGCACUGAUUAGUCACUUAUGAGCUGGGCACUGUGUGCUAAGUGAUUUACAAAUAUUUUCUCAUUUGAUCCUCAGAGUAACCCUGCAAGAGAAAGAAAUGGCAAACCAUUCCAGUAGCUUCGCCAAGAAAACCGCAAAUAAAGUCAUGAAGGAGAGUGGGAUGUGACUGAAAGGAAUGAACGAC